GUGCUCGAUUCAGAAGCACAUGGACUUGAAUUGGAACAAUACAGAGAAGAUAAGCAUGGCCCCUACUUGAGGCUAGCAUGCAGAUUCAGGAAGUAUUCUGUAUUUUU
This is a small nuclear RNA of Peromyscus maniculatus bairdii (prairie deer mouse), 107 nucleotides long. The record is from RefSeq and is a predicted model, not a curated record. NCBI's taxonomy places the organism in Eukaryota, Metazoa, Chordata, Mammalia, Rodentia, Cricetidae.